AUGCACGCUGUCUACAGGCCUCACACCUGCCAGUCGAGGGGAAACGACGGGGAAGCUUGCUUCCCCGGGCGUCGACCGGCGCACGGGUGAGUAACGCGUAUCCAACCUGCCUCUGACUGAGGGAUAACCCGUCGAAAGUCGGCCUAAUACCUCAUGGCAUCGUCUGCGGGCAUCCAACGACGAUUAAAGAUUUCAUCGGUCAGGGAUGGGGAUGCGUCUGAUUAGCUUGUUGGCGGGGUAACGGCCCACCAAGGCUACGAUCAGUAGGGGUUCUGAGAGGAAGGUCCCCCACAUUGGAACUGAGACACGGUCCAAACUCCUACGGGAGGCAGCAGUGAGGAAUAUUGGUCAAUGGGCGGGAGCCUGAACCAGCCAAGUAGCGUGCAGGAUGACGGCCCUAUGGGUUGUAAACUGCUUUUAUGCGGGGAUAAAGUGAGGGACGUGUCCUUCAUUGCAGGUACCGCAUGAAUAAGGACCGGCUAAUUCCGUG
RNAcentral lists this ribosomal RNA (490 nucleotides) under uncultured bacterium. Its description in RNAcentral is "partial 16S ribosomal RNA". It matches the Rfam family "Bacterial small subunit ribosomal RNA", at positions 29 to 507 of the family's 1533-position model. The record is from RNAcentral.